RNAcentral lists this ribosomal RNA (496 nucleotides) under uncultured bacterium. Its description in RNAcentral is "partial 16S ribosomal RNA". It matches the Rfam family "Bacterial small subunit ribosomal RNA", at positions 28 to 506 of the family's 1533-position model. The record is from RNAcentral.
GAUGAACGCUGGCGGCGUGCCUAAUACAUGCCAGUCGAGCGAACAGACGAGGAGCUUGCUCCUCUGACGUUAGCGGCGGACGGGUGAGUAACACGUGGAUAACCUACCUAUAAGACUGGGAUAACUUCGGGAAACCGGAGCUAAUACCGGAUAAUAUAUUGAACCGCAUGGUUCAAUAGUGAAAGACGGUUUUGCUGUCACUUAUAGAUGGAUCCGCGCCGCAUUAGCUAGUUGGUAAGGUAACGGCUUACCAAGGCAACGAUGCGUAGCCGACCUGAGAGGGUGAUCGGCCACACUGGAACUGAGACACGGUCCAGACUCCUACGGGAGGCAGCAGUAGGGAAUCUUCCGCAAUGGGCGAAAGCCUGACGGAGCAACGCCGCGUGAGUGAUGAAGGUCUUCGGAUCGUAAAACUCUGUUACUAGGGAAGAACAAAUGUGUAAGUAACUAUGCACGUCUUGACGGUACCUAAUCAGAAAGCCACGGCUAACUACGU